AAACCAACAGGGAUUGCCUUAGUAACGGCGAGUGAAGCGGCAAAAGCUCAAAUUUGAAAUCUGGUACCUUCGGUGCCCGAGUUGUAAUUUGAAGAUAGUUUUCUGGUGCUGGUCCUUGUCUAUGUUCCUUGGAACAGGACGUCACAGAGGGUGAGAAUCCCGUCUGGCGAGGUGUCCAGUGCUUUGUAGAUUUCUAUCGACGAGUCGAGUUGUUUGGGAAUGCAGCUCUAAGUGGGUGGUAAAUUCCAUCUAAAGCUAAAUAUUGGCGAGAGACCGAUAGCGAACAAGUACAGUGAUGGAAAGAUGAAAAGAACUUUGAAAAGAGAGUGAAAAAGUACGUGAAAUUGUUGAAAGGGAAGGGUAUUAGAUCAGACUUGGUGUUUUGUGAUUAUCUUCCCUUCUUGGGUUGUGCACUCGCAUUUCACUGGGCCAGCAUCGGUUUGGGUGGUAAGAUAAUGGCUUGGGAACGUGGCUCUGUCUUCGGGCAGUGUGUUUAUAGCCCUUGCUGAUGUUACCUGCCUAGACCGAGGACUGCGGCUUUUGCCUAGGAUGCUGGCGUAAUGAUCUAACACCGCCCGUCUU
This 582-nucleotide ribosomal RNA is filed under the name Williopsis tropicalis. Its description in RNAcentral is "LSU rRNA". It matches the Rfam family "Eukaryotic large subunit ribosomal RNA", at positions 62 to 655 of the family's 3401-position model. The record is from RNAcentral. Lineage: Eukaryota; Fungi; Ascomycota; Saccharomycetes; Phaffomycetales; Wickerhamomycetaceae.